GACAGAGGGUGCAAACGUUGUUCGGAAUCACUGGGCGUAAAGCGCGUGUAGGCUGCUGCGCAAGUCGGAUGUGAAAUCCCACGGCUCAACCAUGGAAGUGCAUUCGAAACUGCGUAGCUAGAGUUUUGGAGAGGAAGGCGGAAUACUCGGUGUAGAGGUGAAAUUCGUAGAUAUCGAGUGGAACACCGGUGGCGAAGGCGGCCUUCUGGACAAUGACUGACGCUGAAACGCGAAAGCGUGGGGAGCGAACGGG
RNAcentral lists this ribosomal RNA (253 nucleotides) under uncultured bacterium. Its description in RNAcentral is "partial 16S ribosomal RNA". It matches the Rfam family "Bacterial small subunit ribosomal RNA", at positions 524 to 776 of the family's 1533-position model. The record is from RNAcentral.